GCUCCUAUCGUCUAAUGGUUAGGACAUAAGCUUUUCGAGCUUAGAAUGGGAGUUCAAACCUCCUUGGGAGUA
This 72-nucleotide transfer RNA is filed under the name Aplysina cauliformis (row pore rope sponge). RNAcentral describes it as "tRNA-Glu". It matches the Rfam family "tRNA". Rfam says of the family: Transfer RNA (tRNA) molecules are approximately 80 nucleotides in length. Their secondary structure includes four short double-helical elements and three loops (D, anti-codon, and T loops). Further hydrogen bonds mediate the characteristic L-shaped molecular structure. tRNAs have two regions of fundamental functional importance: the anti-codon, which is responsible for specific mRNA codon recognition, and the 3' end, to which the tRNAs corresponding amino acid is attached (by aminoacyl-tRNA synthetases). tRNAs cope with the degeneracy of the genetic code in two manners: having more than one tRNA (with a specific anti-codon) for a particular amino acid; and 'wobble' base-pairing, i.e. permitting non-standard base-pairing at the 3rd anti-codon position. Lineage: Eukaryota; Metazoa; Porifera; Demospongiae; Verongiida; Aplysinidae. RNAcentral also lists the same sequence under 1 other name. The record is from RNAcentral.